AUUUUUUCGUUGACGAGAAGAGUAGGCUGUAAAGGCUGUCCACAGAGAGUCGCUGUUUGCUGCAAGGCGAUGACAGGUUAGAGCUGAAGAUCAUCUCUGAGAAGUUUCGCUGAAAUAAGGGUAGAGUAGGUGGAACCGGCAGACGGCCGUUAUCCGUUUUAUGAACCGAGAGCCGUGCAAUUGCUGCGCGGAAUAUGGGUGGUACCGCGGAUCUACAUCCGUCCCUGUU
RNAcentral lists this non-coding RNA (229 nucleotides) under Halobacillus halophilus. RNAcentral describes it as "T-box sequence". It matches the Rfam family "T-box leader". Rfam says of the family: Uncharged tRNA acts as the effector for transcription antitermination of genes in the T-box leader family. T-boxes are found upstream of many aminoacyl-tRNA synthetase genes and some amino acid biosynthetic genes usually in Gram-positive bacteria. The anticodon of a specific tRNA base pairs to a specifier sequence within the T-box motif, and the NCCA acceptor tail of the tRNA base pairs to a conserved bulge in the T-box antiterminator hairpin. The record is from RNAcentral. Lineage: Bacteria; Bacillati; Bacillota; Bacilli; Caryophanales; Bacillaceae.